Molecule: ribosomal RNA, 253 nt
Filed under: uncultured bacterium
Lineage: Bacteria
Description: partial 16S ribosomal RNA
Rfam family: Bacterial small subunit ribosomal RNA
Source: RNAcentral
GACGUAGGGUCCGAGCGUUGUCCGGAGUUACUGGGCGUAAAGGGCGCGUAGGCGGUUUCUUACGUUCCACGUGAAAGCCCCUGGCUCAACCAGGGAGGGUCGUGGGAAACGGGGAAACUGGAGGCAGCGAGAGGCUGGUAGAAUUCCCGGAGUAGUGGUGAAAUGCGUAGAGAUCAGGAGGAACACCAAUGGCGAAGGCAGCUUGCUGGGACGGUACUGACGCUGAGGAGCGAAAGCGUGGGGAGCGAACAGG